CCCAAAAAAUUGGACACAGCCUACUAGCCCAAAAAGAACAUGUUGCCAAUUAUCUCCAUGUUUAUUUAAAUAUUUUGCUCUAAAGGAAGCAAUCAUUCCUUUAUACUUCUUUAAAUUUAGUAUUAAACCUUUUCCUAUUUGCCAUGGCCACUGCUUGUGAAGCUAAAGGUGGUGAAGGCAGACACAGGCAAUGGGGCCAGGAGCAUAUGCCUUUCAAUUCCUUCCUGGCAACCUUCCUGUCUUCUCCUCCACUGACUCUUCCCUCUCAUCACCCUCUCUAUGGUGCCAAAAUAGGCUUAGUGGAAUGCUAAUUUGGCACCCUGACAUAUAAUGUUCUAAAAUGGAUGCAUUCUGAAUUUCUUCUUCCCAGAUUUGAAAUGUUUUGAACUGAAUUUGAACUGAAAUUCUAUUGACUUUCUCUUUGAUUUCUUCACCUAUAAACUGGACCAGUACCAGCCACUACAAAAACAUACCAAAUUGUAUAGGCCAUCGACACUAUGAAGAAACUGCAUCAACUAAUGGACUAAAUAACCAGCUAGCAUCAUAAUGACAGGAUCAAAUUCACACUCAAUAAAAUACUGGCAAACUGAAUCCAGCAGCACAUCAAAAAGUUUAUCCACCACGAUCAAGUCAGCUUCAUCCCUGGGAUGCAAGGCUGGUUCAACAUAUGCAAAUCAAUAAACAUAAUCUAUCAUAUAAACAGAACCAAUGACAAAAAUCACAUGAUUAUCUCAAUAGAUGCAGAAAAGACCUUCGAUAAAAUUCAACACCCCCUUCAUACUAAAAACUCUCAAUAGACUAGGUAUUGAUGGAACAUAUCUCAAAAUAAUUAGAGCCGUUUAUGACAAACCCACAGCCAAUAUCAUACUGAAUGGGCAAAAUCUGGAAGCAUUCCCUUUGACAACUGGCAUAAGACAUGGAUGCCCUAUCUCACCCCUCCAAUUCAACAUAGUAUUGGAAGUUCUGGCCAGGACAAUCAGGCAAGAGAAAAAAAUAAAGGGUAUUCAAAUAGGAAGAAAGGAAGUCAAAUUGUCUCUCUUUGCAGAUGACAUGAUUGUGUAUUUAGAAAACCCCAUCAUCUCAGCCCCAAAACUCCUUAAGCUGAUAAGCAACUUCAGCAAAGUCUCAGGAUACAAAAUCAAUGUGCAAAAAUUACAAGUACUCCUCUACACCAAUAAUAGACAAACAGAGAGCCAAAUCAUGAGUGAACUCCCAUUCACAAUUGCUACAAAGAGAAUAAAAUACCUAGGAAUACAACUUACAAGGGAUGUGAAGGACCUCUUCAAGGAGAACUACACACCACUUCUCAAGGAAAUAAGAAAAGACACAAACAAAUUGAAAAACAUUCCAUGCUCAUGUAUAGGAAGAAUCAAUAUUGUGAAAAUGGCCAUAUUGCCCAAGGUAAUUUAUAGAUUCAAUGCUAUCCCCAUCAAGCUACCAUUGACUUUCUUCACAGAAUUAGAAAAAUCUACUUUAAAUUUCAUGUGGAACCAAAAAAAGCCUGUAUAGCCAAGACAAUCCUAAGCAAAAGAACAAAGCUGGAGGCAUCAUGCUACUUUACUUCAAACUACACUACAAGGCUACAGUAAUCAAAACAGCAUGGUACUGGUACCAAAACAGAUAUAUAGACCAAUGGAACAGGGCAGAGGCCUCAAAAAUAAUGCCACACAUCUACAACCAUCUGACCUUUCACAAACCUGACAAAAACUAGCAACGAGGAAAGGAUUCCCUAUUUAAUAAAUGGCAUUGAGUAAUUGGCUAGCCUUAUGCAGAAAACUGAAACUGGACCCCUUCCUUACACCUUAUACAAAAAUUGACUCAAGAUGGAUUAAAGACUUAAACGUAAGACCUAAAACCAUAAAAUCCCUAGAAGAAAACCUAGGCAAUACCAUUCAGGACAUAGGCAUGGGCAAAGACUUCAUGACUAAAACACCAAAAAGCAGUGGCAACAAAAGCCACAAUUGACAAAUGGGAUCUAAUUAAACUAAAGAGCUUCUGCACAGCAAAAGAAACUAUCAUCUGAGUGAACAGGCAACCUACAGAAUGGGAGAAAGUUUUUGCAAUCUAUCCAUCUGACAAAGGGCUAAUAUCCAGAAUCUACAAGGAACUUAAACAAAUUUACAAGAAAAAAACACCAUCAAAAAGUGGGCAAAGGAUAUGAACAGACUCUUAUCAAAAGAAGACAUUUAUGUGGCCAACAAACAUAUGAAUAAAAGCUCAUCAUCACUGGUCAUUAGAGAAAUGCAAAUCAAACUCACAAUGAGAUAUCAAUUUACACCAGUUACUAGAGAGGAUGUGGGGACAUAGGAACGCUUUUACAUUGUUGGUAGGAGAGUCUAGCUAUGAAAGUCCUAGAUGACAUCUUCUAAUAGAAGACUAUUUAAUCUACAUUGGAAAUCUGUUGUUUAGGGUAACCACCUUCAUCAGUAAUCUUAGCUAGAUCUUCUGGAUAACUUCUCCAUCAGCUCUUGCUGCUUCACCUUGCACUUUUAUGUUAUAGAGACUGCUUCUUUCCUUCAACCUCAUGAACCAACCUCUGAUAGGUACUGACUUUUCUUCUGCUGUUUCUUUGAGAGCCUCAUAGAAUUGAAGAGUGUUAGGGGCUUGCUUUAGCUUAUGAGUAUGUUGUGGCUGGUUUAAUCUUCCCAGAUCACUAAAACUUUCACCAUGUCACCAAUAAGGCUGUUUUGCUUUUUUUGUAAUUCACCUGUUUAUUGGAAUAGCACUUUAGUUGCCUUUAAGAGCUUUACCUUUAAAUACAGAACUUGGCUGUUUGGUGCAAGAAGCCAGUUUAGCCUCUCUCAGCUUUCGACAUACCUUUCUCACUAAGCUUAAACAUUUGUAGCUUUUGAUUUAAAGUGAGAAAUAUGUGACUCUUCCUUUCACUUGAACACUUAGAGGCAAUUGUAGAAUUAUUAAUUGGCCUAAUUUUAAUAAUGUUGUGUCUCGGGGAAUAGGGAGGCCCAAGGAGAGGGAGAGAGGUGGGGGAAUGGCUGUUUAGUAGACCAGUCAGAACAUACACAAAAUUUGUGGAUUAAGUUUGCCGUCUUACAUUGGUGUGGUUCAUGGUCCCCACGACAAUUAAAAUAGUAACUUUAGAGAUCACUGAUACCAGAUCACCAUACCAGAUAUCAUAAUGAAAAAUUUGAAAUAUUGUGAGAACUGCCAAAAUAUGACACAGAGACAAGAGCUCAUGCUAUUGAAAAAAAUGGCUCUGAUAGACUUGGCUUGAUGCAGGGUUGCACAAAACCUUCAAUUUGUAAGAGACAUGGUUAUCUGUGAAGCUCAAUAAAGCACAAUACAAUAAAACAAGGUAUGCCUGUAUGAAUUCCUUUAAUAUAAUCCUCAUAAUAAUCUAACAAGGUAGACAUUAUGCCCAUUUGAUAGAACUAGGAAAUUGAGGCAUAACAAGGUUAAGCAAAUUGCACAAAAUCACUUGCUUUGUAAACGGCAUGAUCAGGAACCAAACUAGGCCAGCCUGAUGCCAAAACUUGUUCUUAAUGCACUAAAUUGAUUGGUUUCAAGACUUAACUCCUGCUGCAUUUAAAAGUCUUCCUAUCUCAUUGGUUCCCUUUAUUCUCACUUCUAAUGGGCAUUUUGGGCAAACUUUCACGAUUUAGCUUCCUUGAAAUAGCAGGUAGAUUUCUUACCUUUGAGCCUCGCUCUGACCCCUUCCCGGUAGAAGACUCAUGAACCAUAGGUUGAAGGUGCCUUCUACUUGCAGGGUAUUUUGGUUUAGCUGGAUGGGGGAGGGAUGUUGAUCCCUUUUUUGAUUGAUUUACAUUUGGUGGCUCAGCAUGAUAAAGUAGAAAGAGUAUUGAUGGAGUAAGAUUCAGUAGAUCCAAAUCCCAGAUCCAGUGCUUGCAGCAGCAUCACUUCAGGAAAACUUGAAGAGUUUUUCUGAGUCUUCCUAUCACAGAUUAUAGGAUUUCUAUAAAUAUUUAGUUGGAAUAUAUAACAAAAUAAUUAGGAAAGUUAGUUUUCUUUCUACUUAAUUGGCUUAAAGCAAUUCUGUAAUUUUAUUCUUAUCAGUUUAAAAAUAUCUCCUCCGCUAUUUAACAUUUGAUAUUAUAUUACUUCUAGCACUAAAUGCAUAAUCAAUGUUGUGGUGUGUUUGAACCAGGGAAUUUAUCAGUUUCUGAGGAUGUUAGAAAUUUAAGUGCCUAAUGUAAGAACCAUGCCCAGUUUGGCAGAGAAAUUUUCAGUUCAGAGACAAUUCAAGUACCCUCCCACAUUUCCCACUCCUCUAGAAGUUAGGCAAUCCCGUCUAACUACUUCUGGCCAGUGGGCUGAGAUGGGAAGUAAUGUGAGUCUCUUCCAGGCAAAAUGCAUUUAUGAGCUGGUGUGUGGUGCUUCAGCUCUCUUUUUCCCUAAUGCAGCAACCUUGAAGUUGAAUAUUCCUGUUGACAUAGUUAGAAGAUAUAAGUAGUCUGAAUCCCUGUGACAUCACUUGGAAGCCAGCAAACCCACAGAGGACUUUGCAUGAGCAAUCACUAAAUCUUUAUGAAUUAUACUGUGAUUUGGGGGAUUUGUUUGUUAUUGUAUUAUAGCCUAAUCUAACUUGACUAAUAUACAUAGCCUUUGGAGGUGUGUGGUUUUUGCUUGGUAAGGAUAUAGGUAACUAAAAAAUACUAAGAAGAGUUGCAGCAGACACCCAAAUCUAAGUAGACUCCUAAUCAAAAGGUCAUUGUUACCAAUAACUAGUUCUGUGGUUCUAUAGAUAGAGAAAAAUUUUUUUCGUAACAUUUUCAAAGCAAACAUUUUGU
Molecule: long non-coding RNA, 4766 nt
Filed under: Homo sapiens (human)
Lineage: Eukaryota; Metazoa; Chordata; Mammalia; Primates; Hominidae
Description: non-protein coding lnc-ARHGAP15-17:1
Source: RNAcentral